This 505-nucleotide ribosomal RNA is filed under the name uncultured bacterium. RNAcentral describes it as "partial 16S ribosomal RNA". It matches the Rfam family "Bacterial small subunit ribosomal RNA", at positions 28 to 507 of the family's 1533-position model. The record is from RNAcentral.
GACGAACGCUGGCGGCGUGCCUAAUACAUGCAAGUAGAAUGCACAGUUUAUACCGUAGCUUGCUCCACCAUAGACUGUGAGUUGCGAACGGGUGAGUAACGCGUAGGUAACCUGCCUGGUAGCGGGGGAUAACUAUUGGAAACGAUAGCUAAUACCGCAUAAUAUUAAUUAUUGCAUGAUAAUUAAUUGAAAGGUGCAAUUGCACCACUACCAGAUGGACCUGCGUUGUAUUAGCUAGUAGGUGAGGUAACGGCUCACCUAGGCGACGAUACAUAGCCGACCUGCGAGGGUGAUCGGCCACACUGGGACUGAGACACGGCCCAGACUCCUACGGGAGGCAGCAGUAGGGAAUCUUCGGCAAUGGACGAAAGUCGGACCGAGCAACGCCGCGUGAGUGAAGAAGGUUGUCGGAUCGUAAAGCUCUGUUGUAAGAGAAGAACGGGUGUGAGAGUGGAAAGUUCACACUGUGACGGUAUCUUACCAGAAAGGGACGGCUAACUACGUG